RNAcentral lists this ribosomal RNA (879 nucleotides) under uncultured bacterium. RNAcentral's name for it is "bacterial SSU rRNA". It matches the Rfam family "Bacterial small subunit ribosomal RNA", at positions 8 to 916 of the family's 1533-position model. The record is from RNAcentral.
AGAGUUUGAUCAUGGCUCAGGAUGAACGCUGGCGGCGUGCCUAACACAUGCAAGUCGAGCGAUCUUCUUCGGAAGAGAGCGGCGGACGGGUGAGUAACGCGUGGGUAACCUGCCCUGUACACACGGAUAACAUACCGAAAGGUAUGCUAAUACGAGAUAAUAUGCUUUUAUCGCAUGGUAGAAGUAUCAAAGCUUUUGCGGUACAGGAUGGACCCGCGUCUGAUUAGCUAGUUGGUAAGGUAACGGCUUACCAAGGCGACGAUCAGUAGCCGACCUGAGAGGGUGAUCGGCCACAUUGGAACUGAGACACGGUCCAAACUCCUACGGGAGGCAGCAGUGGGGAAUAUUGCACAAUGGGCGAAAGCCUGAUGCAGCAACGCCGCGUGAGCGAUGAAGGCCUUCGGGUCGUAAAGCUCUGUCCUCAAGGAAGAUAAUGACGGUACUUGAGGAGGAAGCCCCGGCUAACUACGUGCCAGCAGCCGCGGUAAUACGUAGGGGGCUAGCGUUAUCCGGAAUUACUGGGCGUAAAGGGUGCGUAGGUGGUUUCUUAAGUCAGAGGUGAAAGGCUACGGCUCAACCGUAGUAAGCCUUUGAAACUGGGAAACUUGAGUGCAGGAGAGGAGAGUGGAAUUCCUAGUGUAGCGGUGAAAUGCGUAGAUAUUAGGAGGAACAUCAGUUGCGAAGGCGGCUCUCUGGACUGUAACUGACACUGAGGCACGAAAGCGUGGGGAGCAAACAGGAUUAGAUACCCUGGUAGUCCACGCCGUAAACGAUGAGUACUAGCUGUCGGAGGUUACCCCCUUCGGUGGCGCAGCUAACGCAUUAAGUACUCCGCCUGGGAAGUACGCUCGCAAGAGUGAAACUCAAAGGAAUUGACGG